Molecule: ribosomal RNA, 164 nt
Filed under: uncultured bacterium
Lineage: Bacteria
Description: partial 16S rRNA
Rfam family: Bacterial small subunit ribosomal RNA
Source: RNAcentral
UAGGGAAUCUUCGGUAAUGGACGAAGGUCUGACCGAGCAACGCCGCGUGAGUGAAGAAGGUUUUCGGAUCGUAAAACUCUGUUGGUAGAGAAGAACGUUGGUGAGAGUGGAAAGCUCAUCAAGUGACGGUAACUACCCAGAAAGGGCGGCUAACUACGUGCCAC